Molecule: ribosomal RNA, 1556 nt
Filed under: metagenome
Description: bacterial LSU rRNA
Rfam family: Bacterial large subunit ribosomal RNA
Source: RNAcentral
UUUCUGUUGGUGCGUGUGAGGGAUAAGCUUCACGCGCGAGAGGCAAACAUGCCAGACCAGCAGCUAAGGUGCCUAAACGAUGCUUAGUGGAAAGGAUGUGGAGAUACUUAGACAAUGAGGAUGUUGGCUUAGAGGCAGCCACCAUUUAAACAGUGCGUAAUAGCUGACUCAUCGAGUGUUUCCGCGCCGAAAAUGAUUGGCGAUAAGUGUCGUACCGAAGCUCUGGACGGUGCCUGGAUUCGUCCGGGCAUUGUGGUAGGGGAGCGUUGUAGCGGCCUUGAAGCGGGAGCGAAAGCAACCGUGGAGCUUCUACAAGUGAGAAUGCAGACAUGAGUAGCGAAAAGACUGGUUGAAUUCCAGUCCGCCGUAAACCCAAGGUUUCCUGGGGAAGGUUCGUCCUCCCAGGGUUAGUCGGGACCUAAGUCGAGGCCGAAGGGCGUAGACGAUGGACAGCAGGUUUAAUAUUCCUGCACCGCCGACAUUUAAAUUUGAGGGACGUGUGUGCGGAGAAAGGCUGGGCGUUGAUUGUCCCAGUCCCUGAACGCAAGUUUGGGGGACGUGGAGGCCUCGGCCAAAGCGGAUCUUUUAAAGCAUGCACCGAGAAAAACUCAAAGGAAUACUAAGGCGCCCGUACCGGAAACCGACACAGGUGGGUGGGCAUGAAUGUGCCAAGGCGCGUGAGUGAAACCUCGUUAAGGAACUCGCAAUCUAGCCCCGUAACUUCGGAAGAAGGGGUGCCCACUUUUAGUGGGUCGCAGUGAAAUGGGUGUACCGACUGUUUAUCAAAAACACAGCACUCUGCUAAGUCGUAAGACAACGUAUAGGGUGUGACACGUGACCAAUGCGGAAAGAUUACGGUAAGUGGUUAGCGCAAGCGAAGCUACGAGCCCAAGUCCCCGUGAAUGUCGGCCGUAACUAUAACGGUCCUAAGGUAGCGAAAUUCCUUGUCGGGUAAGUUCCGACCUGCACGAAUCGUGUAACGAGUGCACCGCUGUCUCAACGAGGAGCUCAGCGAAGUUGUAAUGGCGGUGAAGAUGCCGCCUACCCGCAGCAGGACGGAAAGACCCUAUGCACCUUUACUGUACGCUGUUACUGUGUUUUCGAUUUUCAUGCUUAGCGUAAGUGGGAGACUUUGAAGCCAUUCUUUCGGGGAUGGCCGAGUCGUCAAUGAAACACCACCCUUGGAAAUUGGAAACUCUAACCCUCGCCCAUCAACUGGGGAGGGGACACUGGCAGCCGGUCAGUUUUACUGGGGCGGUAUCCUCCCAAAGAGUAACGGAGGAGUACGAAGUUUGGCUCAACCUGGUUGGCAAUCAGGUGACGAGUACAUGGAUAUAAGCCAGACUAACUGUGAGACCUACAAGUCGAGCAGAUGCGAAAGCAGGUCCAAGUGAUCCGGUGGUUGAAAGUGGAAUCGCCAUCGCUCAACGGACAAAAGGUACGCUAGGGAUAACAGGCUGAUCGAGUCCAAGAGCUCAUAUCGACGACUCGGUUUGGCACCUCGAUGUCGGCUCAUCACAUCCUGGGGCUGGAGAAGGUCCCAAGGGUCCGGUCAA